Molecule: long non-coding RNA, 1391 nt
Organism: Mangifera indica (mango)
Lineage: Eukaryota; Viridiplantae; Streptophyta; Magnoliopsida; Sapindales; Anacardiaceae
Exons: 2
Source: RefSeq, a predicted model, not a curated record
UGAUUUUGUGUAAUUUGGGUUUCAAUCUUCACACUUGUAAGUUCAAUAUAUAUUUCCGACAAAGAUGAAUAAAUAACCAGAGAAGUUUUCCUGAAUUCCCUGUAGCCGUGGGGAGCUUAGUUUUGAAAAUUACUUACCAUCAUUAAUUUUAAAAUGAGUGAAGCCAUCAAAGUUCAUCAAUGUUAGCAGAAGGCAGAUUGAAAUUAAAUUUUGAAACACAUCCUGGGAAAGGGUAAUGUGCUGAAGAUCAAGACUGUUGAAAUUCCUGAAGCCUUUGCAAAUCUCUAUACCAUCUUUCUUGCGUUUAAAAAAUUCAAGCUCGACCAAAGUUUCAAUGACAGACUUAACUAUAAUGCUAUGUUGAUUCCAAAAAUUUCUAAUUAAGGGGUCCAACAGAGUUCUAAGUAACAUUCUUCAAGUCCGGUAAUACUCUGCACUUUUUUAACAAGGAAUCUGGCAAUGCCACAUAAUCUUUAGCUGAGAGAACCUUUUAGUCAUAUAAUGCACUGUUAAAGGGCCCUCUUCUAAAGGAUGUUAAAUGAAAACAAUAAAUUUUCAGCUUUGAGACACAAGCUGACAAUGUAAACAGGCCCACGUCUGAAAUUUCAAAAAAUUUGAGGGACAAUACAAAGACGCCGAACAAAGAGUCUCACUGGGCUCCGCAGUGAAGAUACUUGCUGAAAUAAGGACUUUUUAGCCCAAAGCCGAAACUAUGACAAUGCAACUUUUACAAAAAGAAGAAAACGAAGAGUUUGAAGAUAGUUUUGAUGAUGGGACUGAUGUUAACACUCAUGAUUCCUUCAACUACUUCGACGAUAAGUCAUCAAAAUUUGACGAAGAAAAUAUUCAAGAGUUAAAUUUUGAUGAUGUGAAAGUUCAUGAAGGCUGCCUACAACAUUAAGUUCCUUUGUCUUGAAUGAUACGGAAAACAUGCACAACUCAGAAUUGCCAUACCAUAUACAAUGGGUGCUUUUGUGAAGUUUAGGUUGAUAAGUAUUCUGUUCGGGGAUUUGGAGGAUUAAUUAGAAGAAAGAAAGGGGCUGUGGCAAUCCGCAUCAAUUAUAAAGGAAUCAUAAUGGUGUACAUCUCUUCUCAUCUCUCUGCACAAGCUCGCAAUGUGGACGAAAGAAAUUCUCAAUGCAGGCACAUAUCACACAAAAUUUUCUCCAAUAACGUAAACCUUUAUGCAACGCGAGCCAGAUAGCAAUAUGGUUGGGGGAUCUCAAUUACAGGAUACAGAGUGAUCUUCAUCACAAAGUAUGAAGACAGUCAAUUUUUGUUAUGUAUUUGCAUUUGUUUCCGCUUUGUUAAGAGCCAAAACCUGAUGAGCACAAUGGUAACCCUCAUGUUAAAAUUUGGUGCUGCCAAUUUAAAAGAAGAGCUUUCUGAAA